RNAcentral lists this ribosomal RNA (609 nucleotides) under Salmonella enterica. Its description in RNAcentral is "bacterial SSU rRNA". It matches the Rfam family "Bacterial small subunit ribosomal RNA", at positions 771 to 1380 of the family's 1533-position model. Lineage: Bacteria; Pseudomonadati; Pseudomonadota; Gammaproteobacteria; Enterobacterales; Enterobacteriaceae. The record is from RNAcentral.
AACAGGAUUAGAUACCCUGGUAGUCCACGCCGUAAACGAUGUCUACUUGGAGGUUGUGCCCUUGAGGCGUGGCUUCCGGAGCUAACGCGUUAAGUAGACCGCCUGGGGAGUACGGCCGCAAGGUUAAAACUCAAAUGAAUUGACGGGGGCCCGCACAAGCGGUGGAGCAUGUGGUUUAAUUCGAUGCAACGCGAAGAACCUUACCUGGUCUUGACAUCCACAGAAGAAUCCAGAGAUGGAUUUGUGCCUUCGGGAACUGUGAGACAGGUGCUGCAUGGCUGUCGUCAGCUCGUGUUGUGAAAUGUUGGGUUAAGUCCCGCAACGAGCGCAACCCUUAUCCUUUGUUGCCAGCGGUCCGGCCGGGAACUCAAAGGAGACUGCCAGUGAUAAACUGGAGGAAGGUGGGGAUGACGUCAAGUCAUCAUGGCCCUUACGACCAGGGCUACACACGUGCUACAAUGGCGCAUACAAAGAGAAGCGACCUCGCGAGAGCAAGCGGACCUCAUAAAGUGCGUCGUAGUCCGGAUUGGAGUCUGCAACUCGACUCCAUGAAGUCGGAAUCGCUAGUAAUCGUGGAUCAGAAUGCCACGGUGAAUACGUUCCCGGGCC